AUUAAACGCUGGCGGCAUGCCUUACACAUGCAAGUCGAACGGCAGCACGGGUGCUUGCACCUGGUGGCGAGUGGCGAACGGGUGAGUAAUACAUCGGAACAUGUCCUGUAGUGGGGGAUAGCCCGGCGAAAGCCGGAUUAAUACCGCAUACGAUCUAGGGAUGAAAGCGGGGGACCUUCGGGCCUCGCGCUAUAGGGUUGGCCGAUGGCUGAUUAGCUAGUUGGUGGGGUAAAGGCCUACCAAGGCGACGAUCAGUAGCUGGUCUGAGAGGACGACCAGCCACACUGGGACUGAGACACGGCCCAGACUCCUACGGGAGGCAGCAGUGGGGAAUUUUGGACAAUGGGCGAAAGCCUGAUCCAGCAAUGCCGCGUGUGUGAAGAAGGCCUUCGGGUUGUAAAGCACUUUUGUCCGGAAAGAAAUCCUUGGCUCUAAUACAGUCGGGGGAUGACGGUACCGGAAGAAUAAGCACCGGCUAACUACGUGCCAGCAGCCGCGGUAAUACGUAGGGUGCAAGCGUUAAUCGGAAUUACUGGGCGUAAAGCGUGCGCAGGCGGUUUGCUAAGACCGAUGUGAAAUCCCCGGGCUCAACCUGGGAACUGCAUUGGUGACUGGCAGGCUAGAGUAUGGCAGAGGGGGGUAGAAUUCCACGUGUAGCAGUGAAAUGCGUAGAGAUGUGGAGGAAUACCGAUGGCGAAGGCAGCCCCCUGGGCCAAUACUGACGCUCAUGCACGAAAGCGUGGGGAGCAAACAGG
RNAcentral lists this ribosomal RNA (755 nucleotides) under uncultured Burkholderia sp. RNAcentral describes it as "bacterial SSU rRNA". It matches the Rfam family "Bacterial small subunit ribosomal RNA", at positions 28 to 776 of the family's 1533-position model. The record is from RNAcentral. Lineage: Bacteria; Pseudomonadati; Pseudomonadota; Betaproteobacteria; Burkholderiales; Burkholderiaceae.